RNAcentral lists this ribosomal RNA (732 nucleotides) under Triticum aestivum (bread wheat). RNAcentral describes it as "partial small subunit ribosomal RNA". The record is from RNAcentral. Lineage: Eukaryota; Viridiplantae; Streptophyta; Magnoliopsida; Poales; Poaceae.
AUGGCGUGCUACCCUUGCAACCCGCUCCCCCAUCUACGUCCUGGCACUACCAUCAUCGUCCCUGGUCCGCUCCGUGCUCGCCGUGGCUACGUGGUGCUGGGUGGCGAGCUAACCAUGGUCUACGAUGAGUGGGCCAUCGCCACUCUGACUCCGGAUGUUUCUGCUGAAGAAUUCCACGGCGCCAUUGCUUUGAUCUCCAACUUCCUUGAAGACCGUGGCUGGCGUAUUAACUACACUUCCAGAUGUGGUAUGGGUACCGCUCUAAUCCAGUUUACUACUGCUUGCUCCCGCGAUACUGCUGUUAGCAAUAGUCCUUAUGAGAUUGGGGAUUCAGUGUUGAGGAUCACUAGGCAAGAUAGAGGUAUCAACUAUCAUAGCAUUACGUUCACCCACGAUGUAUGGAUUAUGUUGAUGAAUUACCCUCUGGAGUGCUGGGAUGUUGGCGUUGUUAGUCGUACUGUUUCCCCUUAUGGCAGAUUCUUGAUCUGGAAUAAAGACCUGAGAGAUAAAACCAGGAUCAUCAUCAAAAUCAGGGUUGUAAAUUUUGAUACUAUCCCCAUUAGCAUUGUUGUCCUCCGUAAUCUGGAUGAUGUGGGAUACGGGGACUCUUGGACAUGUCCAACUUAUAUCCUCUCGCGUGAACUGAUUGGCCAGCAGGGUGGAGAUGAAGAUCCUCUCCCACCGGAUGGAGGUAACCCUCACCCCCUCCCUCAUGUGCACGGAGGAUUUUGG